RNAcentral lists this ribosomal RNA (460 nucleotides) under uncultured bacterium. Its description in RNAcentral is "partial 16S ribosomal RNA". It matches the Rfam family "Bacterial small subunit ribosomal RNA", at positions 339 to 795 of the family's 1533-position model. The record is from RNAcentral.
CUACGGGUGGCACCAGUAAGGAAUAUUGCGCAAUGGAGGCAACUCUGACGCAGCCAUGCCGCGUGCAGGACUGAAGGCCUUAUGGGUCGUAAACUGCUUUUAUUUAGGAAUAAACUUUCGUACGUGUACGAGACUGAAGGUACUAAAUGAAUAAGCACCGGCUAACUCCGUGCCAGCAGCCGCGGUAAUACGGAGGGUGCAAGCGUUAUCCGGAUUUAUUGGGUUUAAAGGGUGCGCAGGCGGACUAUUAAGUCAGAGGUGAAAUCCCGGAGCUCAACUUCGGAACUGCCUUUGAUACUGGUAGUCUUGAAUACGGUUGAAGUAGGCGGAAUGUAGCAUGUAGCGGUGAAAUGCAUAGAGAUGCUACAGAACACCGAUCGCGAAGGCAGCUUACUAAGCCGAUAUUGACGCUCAGGCACGAGAGCGUGGGGAGCGAACAGGAUUAGAUACCCGGGUAGUC